This 511-nucleotide ribosomal RNA is filed under the name uncultured bacterium. RNAcentral describes it as "partial 16S ribosomal RNA". The record is from RNAcentral.
GGAGUUAGCCGGUGCUUCUUCUGCGAGUAACGUCACAGAUGUAAGGUAUUAACUUACACCCUUUCCUCCUCGCUGAAAGUGCUUUACAACCCGAAGGCCUUCUUCACACACGCGGCAUGGCUGCAUCAGGGUUUCCCCCAUUGUGCAAUAUUCCCCACUGCUGCCUCCCGUAGGAGUCUGGGCCGUGUCUCAGUCCCAGUGUGGCUGAUCAUCCUCUCAGACCAGCUAGGGAUCGUCGCCUAGGUGAGCCUUUACCUCACCUACUAGCUAAUCCCACCUGGGCUUAUCCAUCAGCGCAAGGCCCGAAGGUCCCCUGCUUUCCCCCGUAGGGCGUAUGCGGUAUUAGAAGUCGUUUCCAACUGUUAUCCCCCACAAAUGGGCAAAUUCCCAGGCAUUACUCACCCGUCCGCCGCUCGUCAUCUUCAAAAGCAAGCUUUUGAAAUGUUACCGCUCGACUUGCAUGUGUUAGGCCUGCCGCCAGCGUUCAAUCUGAGCCAGGAUCAAACUCUGA